UUCCCAUUCUGAUGUUUUCUCUCUCUCUCUCUUUUUUUUCUUUCCCUUCCCAAAUUCAGUGUUGAAAUGCAGCUUUCACUCACGGGAAGGAGGUCAAAAUCUGAAGGAAAUACUUCAAAAGUGUGGAAAGCAAAACUGUUCUCUCAAGCCCAUCUGCUGGAUAUGAUUAGUCUGUGGACAUUUUUCCCUCCAAAUUUUCAGCUCCUUAUGUGUUCCCCCACUAUAGUUUUUGUGGUGGGUGGAGUUAAGCCAGCGGUGGAAGUGAAGAGAACAUUCCUUACUAUAGCCUAA
This 291-nucleotide long non-coding RNA is filed under the name Anser brachyrhynchus (Pink-footed goose). Its description in RNAcentral is "lncRNA (ENSABRG00000018080.1)". The record is from RNAcentral. Lineage: Eukaryota; Metazoa; Chordata; Aves; Anseriformes; Anatidae.